GCCUGGGUGGCUCAGUCAGUGAAGCGUCCGACUUUGGCUCAGGUCAUGAUCUCACAGUUUGUGGGUUCGAGCCCCACUUCGGGCU
This is a transfer RNA of Felis catus (domestic cat), 85 nucleotides long. It matches the Rfam family "tRNA". From Rfam's summary of the family: Transfer RNA (tRNA) molecules are approximately 80 nucleotides in length. Lineage: Eukaryota; Metazoa; Chordata; Mammalia; Carnivora; Felidae. The record is from Rfam.